This is a long non-coding RNA of Cyprinus carpio carpio, 485 nucleotides long. NCBI's taxonomy places the organism in Eukaryota, Metazoa, Chordata, Actinopteri, Cypriniformes, Cyprinidae. The record is from Ensembl.
GUAUGGAUCUCUGUCAUUGACCAACCAGUUCCAGAUCAUCCACUGUCAGAACACACUCAUUCUGAAAAGUUUGCCCUCUCUCUCUCAGCUCAAACUCCAUCAUUGGAUCACACAAUCUUCCUUACACCACUCUUGAAUGGCUCAGCCAGAGAUCUGUUUGUGAAGAUGAACAGUAGCGUCAGCGGUGUGGACGUGUCCGUCUCAGUCUGUGUAUUCAGCGUGCUGUGCCGUUCUUCAGUGCUGAUGAGAGCCGCUGCAGCAGUGACGGCUUGAGUCCUCUGAGUGGCAGCAGCCCCCCACACUGCCCACUGCCUCACACAACACCUCACUUUGUUUGGAUCCAUCCUGGUGCACUUCUACUGCUGCCACCUGUACCACUGCACAUGUUGGCAUUAGCCUGUAUGACCUGAAUAAAAGUGGCUCACGUCACCUUAAAAAAAAGGAGCUUUCCAGAGGAACAGCCUGGAUGACUUCCAAGUUGAAAC